Molecule: ribosomal RNA, 468 nt
Filed under: uncultured bacterium
Lineage: Bacteria
Description: partial 16S ribosomal RNA
Rfam family: Bacterial small subunit ribosomal RNA
Source: RNAcentral
GACGAACGCUGGCGGCGUGCUUAACACAUGCAAGUCGAACGGAAAGGCCCUGCUUUUGUGGGGUGCUCGAGUGGCGAACGGGUGAGUAACACGUGAGUAACCUGCCCUUGACUUUGGGUUAACUUAAGGAAACUGGGGCUAAUACGGGAUAGGAGCUCCUGCUGUUGGGUGGGGGUUGGAAGGUUUCGGCGGUUGGGGAUGGACUCGCGGCUUAUCAGCUUGUUGGUGGGGUAGUGGCUUACCAAGGCUUUGACGGGUAGCCGGCCUGAGAGGGUGACCGGCCACAUUGGGACUGAGAUACGGCCCAGACUCCUACGGGAGGCAGCAGUGGGGAAUAUUGCACAAUGGGCGGAAGCCUGAUGCAGCAACGCCGCGUGCGGGAUGACGGCCUUCGGGUUGUAAACCGCUUUCGCCUGUGACGAAGCGUGAGUGACGGUAAUGGGUAAAGAAGCACCGGCUAACUACGUG